CCUGCCAUCUAAUUAGCCCACUUCCAGCUUCUCUGUGCCAGAAAGCUCCAAUCAGAGCACACCUGAAAGCUAUUUUUUCCACCACAAGCCUUUCCCCUCCCCUGACAGGCUGUGAAUCUCUGCCAAAAGCUUGUGAUGAUGGUGAUUCCCUUGCUCAGCAAGUUCUGAGAUCUCCUUUGGGUCUCUGAUCAGUUUGGAGUUUAUUCUUGUGCAUGGAGUGAGGAUGGGAAUCCUCAGCUACUUUCUGUUUUCAUUAUUUGUCAGAGAAAUGUGCCUUGAGACUUAAUCCUGUGGCCUCCCCCAGCUGUUCACCAUACAUCCCAGCCAAAGAGGAAACAGAAGUUCUGCUGUCGAAAGGGGAAGACAAGCUGACGAGUCCCAGUGGGGUUGGCUGAGGCUAUCCAAGAUCUUGACAUCUCCCUCUGCCCACUCCUGGUCCUGCCCUCCCUUCCACAGACGUUACUCCCAAGAGCACACCCAGGGAAGCAUUCUGCACGCGAAAGUCCAUCUCCCAGUCUGCCUCCUGGAGAACACAGCUGGCAACAUUAGUUAGUGAAAAAGCAGGCUGUGAACUUGUAAGAACCUGUCUCUGUAACAAAUGGAUACGUAUACUUCCAAAUGCACAGAAAUUUGUGGAACUCUACUUAGGAUACUGUUAACAAUAACUACCUCCAGGGACUAGAACUGGGACCUUUUGAGAGGGGGGAGAAAUUACUUUAUACUCUUUACCAUAAGUAUGAAUUGCUUUUUUUUAUAAUUAAAAAAAGUCUCUAAUUUUAAAGACAUUGGAUUGCA
This 795-nucleotide long non-coding RNA is filed under the name Equus asinus (donkey). RNAcentral describes it as "lncRNA (ENSEASG00005025736.1)". Lineage: Eukaryota; Metazoa; Chordata; Mammalia; Perissodactyla; Equidae. The record is from RNAcentral.